RNAcentral lists this transfer RNA (66 nucleotides) under Scarelus sp. UPOL 000L15. RNAcentral's name for it is "tRNA-Phe". The record is from RNAcentral. Lineage: Eukaryota; Metazoa; Arthropoda; Insecta; Coleoptera; Lycidae.
AUACUUUAAAGUAAAAUCUACUACCUUAAUAUCUUCAAUAUUACGCUCGAUUAAGCUAUUAAAGUA